GGUUUGACGGUACCUAUAAAGGAAGCACCGGCUAACUCCGUGCCAGCAGCCGCGGUAAUACGGGGGGUGCAAGCGUUGUUCGGAAUUAUUGGGCGUAARGCGCGUGUAGGCGGUCUGAUUAGUCUGAUGUGAAAGCCCUGGGCUCAACCCAGGAAGUGCAUUGGAUACUGUCAGACUUGAAUACGGGAGAGGGUAGUGGAAUUCCUAGUGUAGGRGUGAAAUCCGUAGAUAUUAGGAGGAACACCGGUGGYGAAGGCGGCUACCUGGACCGAUAUUGACGCUGAGACGCGAAAGCGUGGGUAGCAAACAGGAUUAGAUACCCUGGUAGUCCACGCCGUAAACGAUGAGAACUAGGUGUCGCGGGUA
Molecule: ribosomal RNA, 366 nt
Filed under: uncultured Geobacteraceae bacterium
Lineage: Bacteria; Pseudomonadati; Thermodesulfobacteriota; Desulfuromonadia; Geobacterales; Geobacteraceae
Description: bacterial SSU rRNA
Rfam family: Bacterial small subunit ribosomal RNA
Source: RNAcentral